This 76-nucleotide ribosomal RNA is filed under the name Proteus mirabilis. The record is from RNAcentral. Lineage: Bacteria; Pseudomonadati; Pseudomonadota; Gammaproteobacteria; Enterobacterales; Morganellaceae.
CUUGGCGGCCAUAGCGCGGUGGUCCCACCUGAUCCCAUGCCGAACUCAGAAGUGAAACGCCGUAGCGCCGAUGGUA